RNAcentral lists this ribosomal RNA (599 nucleotides) under uncultured bacterium. RNAcentral's name for it is "bacterial SSU rRNA". It matches the Rfam family "Bacterial small subunit ribosomal RNA", at positions 66 to 651 of the family's 1533-position model. The record is from RNAcentral.
GCGGCAGCAUGAUGUGUAGCAAUACACAUUGAUGGCGAGCGGCGGACGGGUGAGUAAUGCAUGGGGAUCUGCCCAGUAGCGGGGGACAACCCGGAGAAAUCCGGGCUAAUACCGCAUACGCCCUACGGGGGAAAGCGGGGGACCGAAAGGCCUCGCACUAUUGGAUGAACCCAUGUCCGAUUAGCUAGUUGGUGAGGUAACGGCUCACCAAGGCAACGAUCGGUAGCUGGUCUGAGAGGACGAUCAGCCACACCGGAACUGAGACACGGUCCGGACUCCUACGGGAGGCAGCAGUGGGGAAUAUUGGAUAAUGGGGGAAACCCUGAUCCAGCGACGCCGCGUGUGUGAAGAAGGCCUGCGGGUUGUAAAGCACUUUUAGUGGGGACAAAAAGCUACGGAUUAAUACUCUGUGGUCUUGAUUUAACCCAAAGAAAAAGCACCGGCUAACUCUGUGCCAGCAGCCGCGGUAAUACAGAGGGUGCGAGCGUUAAUCGGAAUUACUGGGCGUAAAGCGCGCGUAGACGGUUUUGUAAGUCAGAUGUGAAAUCCCUGGGCUCAACCUGGGAAACUGCAUUUGAGACUGCAUGGCUAGAGUAUCG